Molecule: ribosomal RNA, 253 nt
Filed under: uncultured bacterium
Lineage: Bacteria
Description: partial 16S ribosomal RNA
Rfam family: Bacterial small subunit ribosomal RNA
Source: RNAcentral
UACAGAGGUCUCAAGCGUUGUUCGGAUUCAUUGGGCGUAAAGGGUGCGUAGGUGGCGCGGUAAGUCGGGUGUGAAAUUUCGGAGCUUAACUCCGAAACUGCAUUCGAUACUGCCGUGCUUGAGGACUGGAGAGGAGACUGGAAUUUACGGUGUAGCGGUGAAAUGCGUAGAGAUCAUGAGGAAGACCAGUGGCGAAGGCGGGUCUCUGGACAGUUCCUGACACUGAGGCACGAAGGCCAGGGGAGCAAACGGG